CGCGAAAGUCCCCUUCGGGGGGCAAGUAGAGUGGCGCACGGGUGAGUAACACGUAGGUAAUCUACCUUCGGGUGGGGAAUAACAACCGGAAACGGUUGCUAAUACCGCAUAAUGCAGCGGCACCUAAUGGUGACAGUUGUUAAAGCGGGGGAUCGAAAGAUCUCGCGCCUGAAGAGGAGCCUGCGGCGGAUUAGCUAGUUGGUAGGGUAACGGCCUACCAAGGCGACGAUCCGUAGCCGGCCUGAGAGGGCGGUCGGCCACACUGACACUGACAUACGGGUCAGACUCCUACGGGAGGCAGCAGUCGGGAAUUUUGGGCAAUGGGCGAAAGCCUGACCCAGCAACGCCGCGUGAAGGAUGAAAUCCCUCGGGAUGUAAACUUCGCAAGAACGGGAAGAAUAAGCCUGUGCUAAUACCACAGGCGAUGACGGUACCGUUUGUAAGCUCCGGCUAACUCCGUGCCAGCAGCCGCGGUAAUACGGGGGGAGCAAGCGUUGUUCGGAUUUACUGGGCGUAAAGGGCGCGUAGGCGGCCACCGCAAGUCAGUUGUGAAAUCUCCGAGCUUAACUCGGAAAGGUCAACUGAUACUGCGGGGCUAGAGUGCGGAAGGGGCAACUGGAAUUCUUGGUGUAGCGGUGAAAUGCGUAGAUAUCAAGAGGAACACCUGCGGCGAAGGCGGGUUGCUGGGCCGACACUGACGCUGAGGCGCGAAAGCUAGGGGAGCGAACGGGAUUAGAUACCCCGGUAGUCCUAGCCUUAAACGAUGAAUGCUUGGUGUCUGGGGUUAUAU
RNAcentral lists this ribosomal RNA (790 nucleotides) under uncultured bacterium gp4. Its description in RNAcentral is "bacterial SSU rRNA". It matches the Rfam family "Bacterial small subunit ribosomal RNA", at positions 65 to 835 of the family's 1533-position model. The record is from RNAcentral.